UGGGUCUAUUGGGGAACCUCCA
RNAcentral lists this non-coding RNA (22 nucleotides) under Arabidopsis thaliana (thale cress). Lineage: Eukaryota; Viridiplantae; Streptophyta; Magnoliopsida; Brassicales; Brassicaceae. The record is from RNAcentral.